Long non-coding RNA from Nematostella vectensis (starlet sea anemone), 944 nucleotides. RefSeq lists it as uncharacterized. The record is from RefSeq and is a predicted model, not a curated record. NCBI's taxonomy places the organism in Eukaryota, Metazoa, Cnidaria, Anthozoa, Actiniaria, Edwardsiidae. The transcript has 4 exons.
GGGUUUUGGCGACAGCCGCUGACCAUGGCGAAGGCGCGCUUCUCACUCGUCCUCGCACAAGUUUUUGGACUGGGGCGAGUAUGGAAAGGUAGCUGCCACUGUGACCCAGCUAAAUCUGUCACUUGGAUCUAAUACGCAGUAGAAUAAAGACCGGGUGUCUCAAAGAAGUUAUUUCGAGUCUCACACGCAAGACCUCAGCACUCCACAAAGUUCCAGAAGAGAGCUAGCCGAGAGGGAGGCGACUUGCAGAGUCAAAGUACAGCUCCCUUAUCAAGGUUCAAGAUGGGAGCCCCGCUUGUCUUCUUCAUCCGCGCCAUUUUUGGCCAAAUCCAUGCGGCGCAUGCGCAGAACACCACAGUUGGCAAGCUCGCAGAUAUUUAAAAAUCGCUAAGUCAAUCAAUCUCUCGAGAAAAGUAUGCUACAGCAGCUCUUCAUCGAGGAGAAGAUACGCACAGAUGCCGACUCCGGAGUCAAACAAAUCCGGAAUUUCUGGACAGGAAUUCGGCCGUACCACAGCGCUACCCACACCAAGCCCUAGGCCUGCUCUCCAUUCACGACCACUCCAACAAUAUCCGCACUGUAGGGCUGGGAGAGUUCGUGGCUGUGCUGAAUGGGCUGGAGUUCCGCACAAGGCACAAUGACUACAGACUUUACAAGCCGCAUAGGACAAGCAAGGAGGCAAGAUGCACGAGUGUGGCUAGCGGCACUCGAAUCUUCUUCCCGCACAUCCCGGGUAUCGGGCGACUCCGUUAACGCUACCUCAUCCACCCUGUAUACGGGGAAGGGAACAUCUCGGUGUGGAAGGAGCUAGAGGCUGUCAAGGAUCUCCUCCUAAAUUCCGAGAACUACCGGUUCGCCUUCCGCGAGCCACUAGCGACACCGAAGGAGGGGGAAGAGUCCGAAGCUACCUUACCUCCUGGUGGGAAGGUGGUGCUGCAGUUGGG